This 236-nucleotide ribosomal RNA is filed under the name uncultured bacterium. RNAcentral's name for it is "partial 16S ribosomal RNA". It matches the Rfam family "Bacterial small subunit ribosomal RNA", at positions 100 to 339 of the family's 1533-position model. The record is from RNAcentral.
GAACGGGUGAGUAACGCGUAGGAAUCUGCCUGAUAGUGGGGGAUAGCCCGGGGAAACCCGGAUUAAUACCGCAUACGCCCUACGGGGGAAAGCAGGGGAUCUUCGGACCUUGCGCUAUCAGAUGAGCCUGCGUCGGAUUAGCUAGUUGGUAGGGUAAAGGCCUACCAAGGCGACGAUCCGUAGCUGGUCUGAGAGGAUGAUCAGCCACACUGGAACUGAGACACGGUCCAGACUCC